Molecule: long non-coding RNA, 1740 nt
Organism: Pteropus alecto (black flying fox)
Lineage: Eukaryota; Metazoa; Chordata; Mammalia; Chiroptera; Pteropodidae
Exons: 2
Source: RefSeq, a predicted model, not a curated record
CCCCUCCCACAUGGGCUGUGCUUCCGGGGCACCUAGAGGCCUGUCUGAAGACUGGCCAUUGUCAUACCUGCUGGCCUGGCCCUGGGGUCUGGCUUGGCCUGAGACUUUACGGACACUUGAGUGAGGGGGAUGGGGUAGGGGCCAGGUUUCCCAAAAAGCAGAGUCAGACUUCUGCCCCCAGCCAGAGGAAGGCUGCAGGUACUGUGGCCAGGAGAGAAGGAGCCAUCUAGAUCUCUUCCUGUUGUGGUGUCCUCUAUCUGAUCUAUCCUAGCUCUGAAAGCCUCAAUAAUAAAGAUGGGGGCUUCACUGUCCUGGACUUCAUUUUCUUCGAAAUACUCUUGGACUGGGGCCUGGGUUGAGGGGAACUUGGGGAAGAAGGAAGAUCCAUCUGGCUGUUUUUUCUUUAGUGUUUACUGGCUGACUCCUUCCUGUCAUUCCACAGUGACCUCAGAGCCCUCGCUGCCAUCCAAGCUCAUACCAUGUCUCUUGUCCACCUGCUUGCUUUCUUUUACGACAGUCACUAGCUGUCUACAUUUAUUUGUAUACCUAAUAUUAUCUAUCCCCACUAGAAUAUAAACUCCACAAGGGCACUGACUUCUUGUUCCUUCUCUAUCCCUUCCUACAAUGAAGAUUAUCCUAACCUGGCAUAUCAUAGCUGCUUAAUAUUCACAAAUAGAUCAGUUGGUUUCUCAGGGUGCAGUCCUUAGACCACCCGUGGGAUAUUUCUUAAAAAUUCAAUUUCUUGGACCCUGCCCCAGACUUUCAUAGUUGGAAUCUGUAGGAGUGGGGCUAGAAGUCUGCAAUUUUAAUAAACUCCAGGUGAUAUAGUCUUCCUGAGAAUGUCGAGAAUCAGUUUCUUAAAUAUUUGGGGGGUGCCUACCAUAUAGUAGACAUUGUCCUGGGCAUCUGUCCCUAACAGCUACCCCUACCAUCUGAGCUUUCUCUGCUGGCUGGCACUGGCUUUUUAAGAACUAUAUUGAACCUACCAUAUGCCAGAUCCUGUGCUGGGGCUUCUUUGCAGAUGUGACUAGUUUUAUCCUUAUAAUAGCUUAGCCAAGAGGCCCUCAUGACCAUGAGAGCUGAAAUUCAGCAGAUGUGUGUUAAGCCUCAACUCCCUAGCUAGGUCUAGGAUUGGUGGGAACAGGCCAGCUAGGAAGAGAUAAUGCAGUUAGGGAGGUGCUUGUUGGGGGAUGGGAGUAAGAAGUGCUGAAGCACUUAGGUGCUGGUGAAGCGGGUGGGCAUCUAACAGGAAGUUGAUAGGGGUUGGGUGGGAAGGGUUAAUGCAGAGGCGAGGGCUGAUUUUCAGCUGAGGGAAGGGAGGCAAGAGAGCACCCUGGACAGUUGGGGAAAUGGAAACAUGAGAUUCGUGGGGCUGAAACAAGCGCUAGGGUUUGGGGGUGGCGAGCUCUUGAGAGAUUGGGGGAAGCCAUCGGGCAGCCUGAGGAGCCCAGUAGGACAUUUGGACUUUAUCUUGAGGGCCACAUGGAGCCAUUGAAGGAAACUUUUGAAAUAAUAGGUAAAAUAUUCACAUGAUAAAAAAUUAAACUGUACACAUUACAAAAGGUUGAUGAAGUCUCCUGCCACCUCAGGCUCUCACUUCUUCCCAGAGGUGACCACUGCUACUCAUUGCUUACAUAAAUUGUCUAAAUUCUUCACGUCUACAUGUAUAUACGUAUAUCUUCUCAUGUUUUAAAAUUCAUAUAUAUGUGCUGUUCUGCUAUCAUGCUACCACUGUUCCAA